RNAcentral lists this ribosomal RNA (297 nucleotides) under Salmonella enterica subsp. diarizonae. RNAcentral's name for it is "partial 23S ribosomal RNA". It matches the Rfam family "Bacterial large subunit ribosomal RNA", at positions 2341 to 2637 of the family's 2925-position model. Lineage: Bacteria; Pseudomonadati; Pseudomonadota; Gammaproteobacteria; Enterobacterales; Enterobacteriaceae. The record is from RNAcentral.
GGAGGUUAGUGCAAUGGCAUAAGCCAGCUUGACUGCGAGCGUGACGGCGCGAGCAGGUGCGAAAGCAGGUCAUAGUGAUCCGGUGGUUCUGAAUGGAAGGGCCAUCGCUCAACGGAUAAAAGGUACUCCGGGGAUAACAGGCUGAUACCGCCCAAGAGUUCAUAUCGACGGCGGUGUUUGGCACCUCGAUGUCGGCUCAUCACAUCCUGGGGCUGAAGUAGGUCCCAAGGGUAUGGCUGUUCGCCAUUUAAAGUGGUACGCGAGCUGGGUUUAGAACGUCGUGAGACAGUUCGGUCC